RNAcentral lists this long non-coding RNA (376 nucleotides) under Linum usitatissimum (flax). RNAcentral's name for it is "long non-coding RNA (LUSI_LNC003842)". The record is from RNAcentral. Lineage: Eukaryota; Viridiplantae; Streptophyta; Magnoliopsida; Malpighiales; Linaceae.
UUGCACUUCGCUGACGCUGGUUUAUUUCCAAUUUCCGGCCAGAUUACGACGUAGCAGCACUUCUUCUGUAAUGGCAGCAUGCCAGUUUUGGUAACCGUGCCUCUCUCUUUCCAAUCAGUGGAGGUGGAACUCAUUGACAGUGACGACGAAAUUAAGCUCCGUCUGCUGAAGCUACACAGGUUGCUCAGAAGAAGAAGAACACAAACGCAGCAACAAUGUAAAGUGCACUUCAAUCAAAAUGCAGAAACCAUACAUGCUUUCAUUCUUCAUGAACUACAUUAUUUUUUCAGAUAGAGAAGAAUUCUUGGAAAACAACAACUUCAUUUCGCCGUGCAAGAGGUUAUGCCGUUGUUGAUUGUUUCUUGACCAUGUUGCU